CGGGGCUGCGGGGCUCGGGGCUGCGGGCUCCUUUCGCACCCGCGUCCGGCCGUGCCUGGGCGGGCCGGGCCCCGGCGCCGUCCUUCUCCGCAAGGGUGCGGCCGCUGGUCGCCGCACUGCGCCGCGUUCCUGGGGCGGCUGAAGCUGGUGGCUCUGAGGGCGACGGGCCGGGGUCGAGGCGGUUCCUGUGGUGCUUCAGGCCUGGGGGUACCUCAGGGCCUCUGCCGCGCCUUCCCCGGGAGGCCGCGGCGGGCGCUUCGCAUUCCCCAUGGGCUGGCCGCGGAGAGGCUUUGAAGUGCAUCACUCCGCUGGAGCGGGCAUGGACACGCUGUUCCGAGCGCAGCCCUAGUCUUGUCAGGAAUUCAGUCUCCAUUAAAUCGGGUCUUAAAAGUCUGAACAAAGCUGGAUCCAGAGCAUCUUCUCACAAACAAUCAAGUAAUGUGAUGAAUAAAACACAAAGAUGGUGAUCUGGUGACGGGCAAAAGAACGAGAUAGUGGAAAGCCAGGAGACCAUGCUUCCAAGAAAAUUGUUUGGGUUCUCUGGAAAAAAGCUAUUACAGGUUCAGAGAGGAAAGAAACAUCACUUUUAUAGCUGUAAGUAGCCAUCUCUCUGUCAUUCUCAGUACUGGGAUAUACCUUGAACUUGGAAGGCUCUCAGGGAGGCUAUAGCCAGAACCUAAGACCAGUUGGAAACUAAAUUAAAUUCUUAUAUCCUGUCCUGUGACAAAACUUAAAGUAUGUCUUAAAUACACCUAUUUCAAUAUUAUGUUAUUAGCCAGAUGUAGAUGUUUAGUGCUGCAGAGUUUUGUGUGUUGUGGUCCCAGGGUCUCUCCAGUCACUGGGCUGUUCAUAUUAAUCUAGUUUUAUUGCUUCCUUCUGUAGUGAUAAAUUGAUGUAGUUCUGUCUUUCUAUAUUUGUAUACAUUUGGAAACACUGAAUAUUGAUAAUAACAGUGCAGUUAGUAGUGCUGAUGCCGUUACCUUGUUUUAGCAAAAUUGAGCAGUUAAUAUUUAUCUCCAAAUCUGCUCUACUAUGUUUAUUUUCACUCAAACCUUUAGUUUCACCUCUAGUAACUUCUGCAUUGAUAACACAUUUUCUGUAUGAAGUCAAGUAGACUAAAACUACAUUAAGAGAUAACAGUUCUUAAAUAAAGCACGAAGAAUUGCAGAUUUUCA
This 1175-nucleotide long non-coding RNA is filed under the name Lonchura striata (white-rumped munia). RNAcentral describes it as "domestica (Bengalese finch) lncRNA (ENSLSDG00000015834.1)". The record is from RNAcentral. Lineage: Eukaryota; Metazoa; Chordata; Aves; Passeriformes; Estrildidae.